This is a long non-coding RNA of Mesoplodon densirostris (Blainville's beaked whale), 347 nucleotides long. RefSeq lists it as uncharacterized. The transcript is spliced from 3 exons. NCBI's taxonomy places the organism in Eukaryota, Metazoa, Chordata, Mammalia, Artiodactyla, Ziphiidae. The record is from RefSeq and is a predicted model, not a curated record.
UGAAGCAGGUGGAAGCGUCACAGUGUAGUAGAUACAUGUGUGGGCUCUGGAGUCCGUGUCUGGGCUUCAAAUCCUGGCUGUGUCGAUUAUGGACUCUCUGACUUUGGACAGGUCACGAAGCCUUCCUGUUCUUUGGAGCACCAGGCACCUGAUCUGAGCGUGAAGAAAACCCUCGAGGUCGUAUCAUGGAAUCAAUUCCUUGCCUGAGUAGUGUGGGAAACAACUGGAUGAGAAUUAGACUAACUGGAAUUGAUCUGCAACCCUGUGGUGUGACUCCAGGCAAGUUUCAGACCCCUCCCCCACUCCCUCCAACACACCCAAAGCAGCUGGGUUUCCACCCUUUUAAG